Molecule: ribosomal RNA, 459 nt
Filed under: uncultured bacterium
Lineage: Bacteria
Description: partial 16S ribosomal RNA
Rfam family: Bacterial small subunit ribosomal RNA
Source: RNAcentral
CUACGGGAGGCACCAGUAAGGAAUAUUGGUCAAUGGACGCAAGUCUGAACCAGCCAUGCCGCGUGAAGGAUUAAGGUCCUCUGGAUUGUAAACUUCUUUUAUUUGGGACGAAAAAGGGUCUUUCUAGACCAACUGACGGUACCAGAUGAAUAAGCACCGGCUAACUCCGUGCCAGCAGCCGCGGUAAUACGGAGGGUGCAAGCGUUAUCCGGAUUCACUGGGUUUAAAGGGUGCGUAGGCGGGUAGGUAAGUCAGUGGUGAAAUCCUAGAGCUUAACUCUAGAACUGCCAUUGAUACUAUCUAUCUUGAAUAUUGUGGAGGUAAGCGGAAUAUGUCAUGUAGCGGUGAAAUGCUUAGAUAUGACAUAGAACACCUAUUGCGAAGGCAGCUUACUACGCAUAUAUUGACGCUGAGGCACGAAAGCGUGGGGAUCAAACAGGAUUAGAUACCCUUGUAGUC